GCAUAUCAAUAAGCGGAGGAAAAGAAACCAACAGGGAUUGCCCUAGUAACGGCGAGUGAAGCGGCAACAGCUCAAAUUUGAAAUCUGGCUCUUUCAGAGUCCGAGUUGUAAUUUGCAGAGGGCGCUUUGGCUUUGGCAGCGGUCCAAGUUCCUUGGAACAGGACGUCACAGAGGGUGAGAAUCCCGUACGUGGUCGCUAGCUAUUGCCGUGUAAAGCCCCUUCGACGAGUCGAGUUGUUUGGGAAUGCAGCUCUAAAUGGGAGGUAAAUUUCUUCUAAAGCUAAAUAUUGGCCAGAGACCGAUAGCGCACAAGUAGAGUGAUCGAAAGAUGAAAAGCACUUUGGAAAGAGAGUCAAACAGCACGUGAAAUUGUUGAAAGGGAAGCGCUUGCAGCCAGACUUGCUUGCAGUUGCUCAUCCGGGCUUUUGCCCGGUGCACUCUUCUGCAGGCAGGCCAGCAUCAGUUUGGGCGGUGGGAUAAAGGUCUCUGUCACGUACCAUCCUUCGGGAUGGCCAUAUAGGGGAGACGUCAUACCACCAGCCUGGACUGAGGUCCGCGCAUCUGCUAGGAUGCUGGCGUAAUGGCUGUAAGCGGCCCGUCUUGAAACACGGACCAAGGAGUCUAACAUCUAUGCGAGUGUUUGGGUGUCAAGCCCGAGCGCGUAAUGAAAGUGAACGGAGGUGGGAACCCGCAAGGGUGCACCAUCGACCGAUCCUGAAGUUUACGGAAGGAUUUGAGUAAGAGCAUGGCUGUUGGGACCCGAAAGAUGGUGAACUAUGCUUGAAUAGGGUGAAGCCAGAGGAAACUCUGGUGGAGGCUCGCAGCGGUUCUGACGUGCAAAUCGAUCGUCAAAUUUGGGCAUAGGGGGCGAAAGACUAAUCGAACUAUCUAGUAGCUGGUUCUGCCGAAG
RNAcentral lists this ribosomal RNA (910 nucleotides) under Curvularia hawaiiensis. Its description in RNAcentral is "LSU rRNA". It matches the Rfam family "Eukaryotic large subunit ribosomal RNA", at positions 38 to 966 of the family's 3401-position model. Lineage: Eukaryota; Fungi; Ascomycota; Dothideomycetes; Pleosporales; Pleosporaceae. The record is from RNAcentral.